RNAcentral lists this ribosomal RNA (546 nucleotides) under Kondoa yuccicola. RNAcentral describes it as "LSU rRNA". It matches the Rfam family "Eukaryotic large subunit ribosomal RNA", at positions 87 to 629 of the family's 3401-position model. The record is from RNAcentral. Lineage: Eukaryota; Fungi; Basidiomycota; Agaricostilbomycetes; Agaricostilbales; Kondoaceae.
CGGCGAGUGAAGUGGGAAAAGCUCAACUUUGUAAUCUGGCUGUCUUUGGCAGUCCGAGUUGUAGUCUAGAGAAGUGUUAUCCGCGCAGCCCCUUAUAGAUUUCGGUUGGAAUGCCAAGUCAAAGAGGGUGAGAAUCCCGUAUUUGAUAAGGUGGGCUUGUGCAUUGUGAUACAUUUUCAAAGAGUCGAGUUGUUUGGGAAUGCAGCUCAAAGUGGGUGGUAAAUUCCAUCUAAAGCUAAAUAUUGGCGAGAGACCGAUAGCGAACAAGUACCGUGAGGGAAAGAUGAAAAGCACUUUGGAAAGAGAAUGAAAUAGUACAUGAAAUUGCUGAAAGGGAAACGAUUGAAGUUAGACUUGCGCGGUUGGUAUUCAGCCUUGGCUUCGGUCUUGGUGCAUUUGCCUUCCAUUGCAGGCCAGCAUCAGUUUACUUUGCUGUAAAAGGGUUUGAGGAAUGUGGCUUCUUCGGGAGUGUUAUAGCCUCUUUCUGGAUGCAGAAUCGUAGACUGAGGAACGCAGCGCGCCUUUAUGGCAAAGCUUUUAAGCUUC